AAGAGCGACGGGCGAUGUGUACAUAUUUUAGAGCUAAAAUCAAAUUAUUUAUCUUUAUAAUUUUACUAUCAAAUCCACUAUCAAUAAAUAAUUUCAUAAUUAUAUCCAUCUAAAUAAAUUUAUUGUAACUCAUUAUAACCUUAAAUAUUAGCUACACCUUGAUCUGAUAUAAAAUUUUAUAAAAAAAUUUGAAUAUUAUUUUUCUUAUAAAAUAUUCUUUUAACGACGAUAUAUAAACUGAUAAACAAAUUUAAGUAAGAUACAUCGUGGAUUAUCGAUUACUAAACAAGUUCCUCUGAAUAGACUAAAAUACCGCCAAAUUUUUUAAGUUUCAAGAACAUAACUAAUACUACUCAAAUUUAAAUACAUUUUAAAUAAUAGGGUAUCUAAUCCUAGUUUA
This 400-nucleotide ribosomal RNA is filed under the name Protonephrocerus chiloensis. Its description in RNAcentral is "partial 12S ribosomal RNA". The record is from RNAcentral. Lineage: Eukaryota; Metazoa; Arthropoda; Insecta; Diptera; Pipunculidae.